This is a long non-coding RNA of Lycium ferocissimum, 2698 nucleotides long. RefSeq lists it as uncharacterized. NCBI's taxonomy places the organism in Eukaryota, Viridiplantae, Streptophyta, Magnoliopsida, Solanales, Solanaceae. The record is from RefSeq and is a predicted model, not a curated record. The transcript is spliced from 6 exons.
AAUAUGUAUUACAUCCCACUUUCCCUAAAUUUCCUCUGCAAAACCUAAGCAACUCACGUCGCUCAACCAUCACAACUCACGUUCUCCCCUUCCACUUCAGUGGGUGACCAUAUGGAACUGCUCAAACUGACGAUGUCAUCUUUUACUUAUCAAACCAACUUCUAUUUAUCAAAUACACCCAUAUUCCAAACCAUCUUCAAAUCAGCUUGCUACUACUAUCAAUAUACGGCUUCUGCAAAGUAUGGCUGACUUCAUCAAGGAUAUCACUAUUUCAAAAAUGCAAUGGAACCUGGUGGUUCGGGUUGUCCGUAUGUGGGAAAUACCAGAUCGUUACAAUGAAGGAACUACUUCGUCCAUUGAAUUGGUACUACAAGAUGAAAAGGGGGAUCGGAUACACGCUACCAUUGGGAAGUCAGUAGUGCAUAAUUUCAAAACAAAAAUUAAUGGCCUUGGAUUAUGUCACAUGGCAAACUUUAUUGUUUGUCCAAAUAAGGAGAAGUUCAACACGACAAAACAUAGUUGAGGCUGAAUUUUACUCUACCAAUAACAGUGGCUGAAAAAACAGAUCAACUUUUCCCAAUGAUAAUCUUUGAUCUGCGACCAUACGAUCAAUUGAUAGGAAAGGUUGAUGUGAAUGAGACUGAAUUAUUCGAUGUGAUCGGAGAAAUCGUCAGUUUUGGUGAGGUACAAAUGCUCAAACGAGAUGGAGUUUCGAGAAAGUUUAUCAAUCUCGAACUAGAAGAUGAUGAGUAAGAAUAAACACAUGUCAUCUGAUUAUGGAUGCUUUUUGUAAUUACAUAUGCUAAAAAAAUAUAUCUAUUCGUAUUUGGCAGGGGGGAACAAUUUGCACGCAAUUGUGGAAAGUACAUAUCCAGAUUUUUUUUAGCCACUGCAGUGACAUAACAUACCUACAACAAAGAGGAAUUCUUGCUCCUACUCUUGACAUGGUUGAAUCAAUCAAUGAACACAUGGUUUGAUUAAACCAUAGUCAAGCAAAAACAUAUUUGAGUUCUGAUACAAUCUGCAUGUCGGACGAUGCUUUUACAGGUUUGGAACACAUACAUACACACAAUUCCUAAACACUAUUAAGUGCUCCGGAAUUCCAAAUCAUGCGAUCACUUUGAAAGUGGGUGUCCUAGUGAUGUUAUUGAGAAAUACAGACCAAGCUUCCGGGCUAUGUAAUGGAACAAGAUUAGUCAUCACUAGACUUGGAAAUAGGUUACCGAAGCAAAAGGUUUAUCCGAAAAUAUGGCUGGAUAAAAGGUUUUCAUUCCGCGAAUGUCAUUGACUCCAUCUGAUGCAAGAAUACCUUUUAAGUUCCAGUGAAGGAAAUUUCCAAUUAGUUGUAUCUUUUGCCAUGAAUAUUAAUAAAAGUCAAGGGCAAUCAUUAUCUCAUGUUGGGUUAUAUUUGAAGAAAUCAGUGUUCACACAUGGGUAGCUUUAUGUUGCCCUAUCACGCGUGACAACAAGAAGGGGAUUAAAGAUUCCGGUGUAUGAUGAUGAUGGAGAAAUUGCAAAUGAAGCAACAAAUGUAGUGUACAAAAAAGUUUUCAGUAAUUUACUUGGAUAAUGAAAGAAAAUCUGAUCUGAAGUUUCAACACGACUGCCUUGAUGCGUCUUUAUUGAACCAUCUUGGAAAUAAGCUUCAGAAGCAAUAGUCGGAAACUUUAAUUGAGUUCUCGCAAAGGAUGUUGAGGUUUACAAGAAAAAAUUGCUCCGUUGAUGGAGGUGGAAUAAGAGAAAACAAAGGACUUUCUGGAGCAAGGUGUGGAUCGGCAAAAGCAGUGGUCUGUAGGAUUAUGACAAGUUAAAGAAGCAGAAGCGACAUCUAUUUGCUCAAUUCUUCUCGCCCAUCCUUCUGAAGGUUAAUAUUUGUUCGGUACUUCUCUACUGUUCUCAAUAUCCGUUCAAAGGCGUCUGAUUGUGAUGCAGUUGAAUGCCAAGUUACGUCUACUCUAAGCUAAUUGGUAUGCCAAAAAUAUGUGAGCCGAUUGUUUUGUUAUGCUAUCUACAUGUAUCUCGGAGACUUAUUAGGAUAUAUUUUGAUUCUGAAGUUCUGUUUAAACUUUAACAGCUUCUUAUCAUAGAAUGAUAUUAGUCAUUCUUUGUCAGUUCUCCAUUUGUUUCUCUGUUUCUCUUAUCCUUUCUUGUAGGGACAUUUUCUAAUGACAAUUGUUUUUCAGGUUACUCUAAAAAUCAAAGUACAAGUUCAAAUUUUUACCUGAAUUAAGGCCCUUAUAAAGAGGACUAGCGAGAUUAGACAUCAGCUGGAAUGAAAUGCUUUACUUUGAUUAUGUCUGUGUCCCUCUUUGUCAGGUUCUAAUCUGAUCGUUGAGGACUUAUUCGAAGGGCAUCCCAUCAGUCAAGGAAAGCUAAAAAGAACUUCUUGGCCAUACCCCACCGCAGGUUUUUGCUGGGGCUUUGCUGGGUAUUGUGGUUGCUUGGAUGUGUUGUCAGGGUUGUUUAAUUGCAAUAUGAUCAGCUUACAUAGGUAAGCUUUCCAAUAACUAGGAGUCAUCCGUUAUAACUGUACAAGAAGCACUAUCUUUUUGUAUGAACGAUUGAUGCUUAUGUUCAUUCCCAAGUAAAAGGGAAAAAAAAAGUUCUGCAGUCAAUUCAAUUUGUUAUCUUUCUGAAUUUGUACUCUGGCUUAUGCUCAAGCUUUUCAGGAUUUAGUGAUCUGCUACGGCAUUAUCUU